UAGUGUGACACGUGUUGAUAUUUCUGACA
Molecule: non-coding RNA, 29 nt
Filed under: Mus musculus (house mouse)
Lineage: Eukaryota; Metazoa; Chordata; Mammalia; Rodentia; Muridae
Source: RNAcentral